GUGAGGAAUUUUCCGCAAUGGGCGAAAGCCUGACGGAGCAAUGCCGCGUGAAGGAUGAAGGCCUAUGGGUUGUAAACUUCUUUUCUCAGAAAAGAAUUAUGACGGUAUCUGAGGAAUAAGCAUCGGCUAACUCUGUGCCAGCAGCCGCGGUAAGACAGAGGAUGCAAGCGUUAUCCGGAAUGAUUGGGCGUAAAGCGUCUGUAGGUUGUUUAAAAAGUAUUCUGUCAAAGAUUAGGGCUUAACCCUAGAUAGGCAGAAUAAACUUUUAAGCUAGAGUUUGGUAGAGGCAGAGGGAAUUCCCGGUGGAGCGGUGAAAUGCGUAGAUAUCGGGAGGAACACCAAAGGCGAAGGCACUCUGUUGGGCCAAUACUAACACUGAGAGACGAAAGCGAGGGGAGCAAAUGGGAUUAGAUACCCCGGUAGUCC
RNAcentral lists this ribosomal RNA (426 nucleotides) under uncultured bacterium. Its description in RNAcentral is "partial 16S ribosomal RNA". It matches the Rfam family "Bacterial small subunit ribosomal RNA", at positions 354 to 796 of the family's 1533-position model. The record is from RNAcentral.